RNAcentral lists this ribosomal RNA (253 nucleotides) under uncultured bacterium. RNAcentral's name for it is "partial 16S ribosomal RNA". It matches the Rfam family "Bacterial small subunit ribosomal RNA", at positions 524 to 776 of the family's 1533-position model. The record is from RNAcentral.
UACGGGGGGGGUAAGCGUUGUUCGGAAUUACUGGGCGUAAAGGGCGCGUAGGCGGCCUGCUAAGUCGGACGUGAAAUCCCUCGGCUCAACCGGGGAACUGCGUCCGAUACUGGUGGGCUCGAAUCCGGGAGAGGGAUGUGGAAUUCCAGGUGUAGCGGUGAAAUGCGUAGAUAUCUGGAGGAACACCGGUGGCGAAGGCGGCAUCCUGGACCGAUAUUGACGCUGAUGCGCGAAAGCCAGGGGAGCAAACGGG